GCGUGGGUCGGCCCGCUGUACUGGAUCCAGUGGGCUGGGGGACACCGCCGCCUUCAUCCCCGCGGGCGGCGGAACGGUCCGGGAGGCGGCGUCCGUCUCCCGGACCGGC
Actinobacteria bacterium OV320 is the source of this 109-nucleotide small RNA. It matches the Rfam family "Streptomyces RNA 4115". From Rfam's summary of the family: Identified by deep sequencing of transcriptome at the end of exponential growth phase. Sequencing size consistent with notrthern blot size. The record is from Rfam. Lineage: Bacteria; Bacillati; Actinomycetota; Actinomycetes.